GAUGAACGCUGGCGGCGUGCCUAAUACAUGCAAGCGGGCGGACGGACGAGAAGCUUGCUUCUCUGAUGUUAGCGGCGGACGGGUGAGUAACACGUGGAUAACCUACCUAUAAGACUGGGGUAACUUCGGGAAACCGUAGCUAAUAACGGAUAAUAUUUUGAACCGCAUGGUUUAAAAGUGAAAGACGGGCUUGCUGUCACUUAUAGGUGGAUCCGCGCUGCAUUAGCUAGUUGGUAAGGUAACGGCUUACCAAGGCAACGAUGCAUAGCCGACCUGAGAGGGUGAUCGGCCACACUGGAACUGAGACACGGUCCAGACUCCUACGGGAGGCAGCAGUAGGGAAUCUUCCGCAAUGGGCGAAAGCCUGACGGAGCAACGCCGCGUGAGUGAUGAAGGUCUUCGGAUCGUAAAACUCUGUUAUUAGGGAAGAACAUAUGUGUAAGUAACUGUGCACAUCUUGACGGUACCUAAUCAGAAAGCCACGGCUAACUACGUG
RNAcentral lists this ribosomal RNA (496 nucleotides) under uncultured bacterium. RNAcentral's name for it is "partial 16S ribosomal RNA". It matches the Rfam family "Bacterial small subunit ribosomal RNA", at positions 28 to 507 of the family's 1533-position model. The record is from RNAcentral.